Molecule: small RNA, 427 nt
Filed under: Pan troglodytes (chimpanzee)
Lineage: Eukaryota; Metazoa; Chordata; Mammalia; Primates; Hominidae
Description: retained intron
Source: RNAcentral
CUGUAGAACACCUGUGAAUCUUGCAAGAUUCGAGAUGUAACCUUUCCCAUCAUCCUGUGCUUCUCUUCUAGAUGUCAGCCAGGAAGAAUCUCCCUCCGUAAUACCAGCCCACCUCGUCCAGGAAAGCCAGAAGGACCACCCCCACAAGGAGGCAACCAGUCCCAAGGUCCCCCACCUCGUCCAGGAAAGCCAGAAGGACAACCCCCACAAGGAGGAAACCAGUCCCAAGGUCCCCCACCUCGUCCAGGAAAGCCAGAAGGACAACCCCCACAAGGAGGAAACCAGUCCCAAGGUCCCCCACCUCGUCCAGGAAAGCCAGAAGGACAACCCCCACAAGGAGGAAACCAGUCCCAAGGUCCCCCACCUCGUCCAGGAAAGCCAGAAGGACAACCCCCACAAGGAGGAAACCAGUCCCAAGGUCCCCCAC